This 433-nucleotide ribosomal RNA is filed under the name uncultured bacterium. Its description in RNAcentral is "partial 16S ribosomal RNA". It matches the Rfam family "Bacterial small subunit ribosomal RNA", at positions 29 to 507 of the family's 1533-position model. The record is from RNAcentral.
AGCGAACGCUGGCGGCAGGCUUAACACAUGCAAGUCGAGCGGGCCCUUCGGGGUCAGCGGCCGACGGGUGAGUAACACGUGGGAACGUACCCUUUGGUUCGGAAUAACGCUGGGAAACUAGCGCUAAUACCGGAUACGCCCUUUUGGGGAAAGGCUUGCUGCCGAAGGAUCGGCCCGCGUCUGAUUAGCUAGUUGGUGGGGUAAUGGCCUACCAAGGCGACGAUCAGUAGCUGGUCUGAGAGGAUGAUCAGCCACACUGGGACUGAGACACGGCCCAGACUCCUACGGGAGGCAGAAGUGGGGAAUAUUGGACAAUGGGCGCAAGACUGAUCCAGCCAUGCCGCGUGAGUGAUGAAGGCCUUAGGGUUGUAAAGCUCUUUUGUCCGGGACGAUAAUGACGGUACCGGAAGAAUAAGCCCCGGCUAACUUCGUG